This 305-nucleotide ribosomal RNA is filed under the name uncultured bacterium. RNAcentral's name for it is "bacterial SSU rRNA". It matches the Rfam family "Bacterial small subunit ribosomal RNA", at positions 335 to 634 of the family's 1533-position model. The record is from RNAcentral.
AUCCUACGGGACGCAGCAGUGGGGAAUCUUGCGCAAUGGGCGGAAGCCUGACGCAGCGACGCCGCGUGAACGAGGAAGGUCUUCGGAUCGUAAAGUUCUGUUGAAGGGGAAAAAGAGCGGAGAGAGGAAAUGGUCUCCGAUUGAUAUUACCCUUCGAGGAAGUCACGGCUAACUACGUGCCAGCAGCCGCGGUAAUACGUAGGUGGCGAGCGUUAUCCGGAAUGAUUGGGCGUAAAGGGUGCGUAGGCGGCCUGCUAAGUCUGGAGUGAAAGGUACCGGCUCAACCGGUACAGGCUCUGGAAACU